Molecule: transfer RNA, 73 nt
Filed under: Salinibacterium sp.
Lineage: Bacteria; Bacillati; Actinomycetota; Actinomycetes; Micrococcales; Microbacteriaceae
Description: tRNA-Arg
Rfam family: tRNA
About the family: Transfer RNA (tRNA) molecules are approximately 80 nucleotides in length.
Source: RNAcentral
GCCUCUGUAGCUCAGUGGAUAGAGCGGCAGCCUUCUAAUCUGCGGGUCGUAGGUUCGAUUCCUACCAGGGGCA